AGCGAACGUUUGCGGCGGGCUUAACACAUGCAAGUCGAACGGGCUGUUCCUUCGGGGGCAGUCAGUGGCGCACGGGUGCGUAACACGUAGGUAAUCAACCCUCUGGCUGGGGAUAACACUUCGAAAGGAGUGCUAAUACCCGGUAUGGCGCAGCGGUCUUCGGAUCGCGGCGAAGAAAGACCCGCAAGGGGCUGCCAGAGGACGAGCCUGCGGCCCAUCAGCUAGUUGGCGAGGUAACGGCUCACCAAGGCGAAGACGGGUAGCUGGUCUGAGAGGAUGAUCAGCCACACUGGCACUGAGAUACGGGCCAGACUCCUACGGGAGGCAGCAGUGAGGAAUAUUGCGCAAUGGGCGAAAGCCUGACGCAGCGACGCCGCGUGGGGGAUGAAGGUUUUCGGAUUGUAAACCCCUUUCAUGAGGAAAGAUAAAGUGGGUAACCACUUAGACGGUACCUCAAGAAGAAGCCACGGCUAACUUCGUGCC
Molecule: ribosomal RNA, 483 nt
Filed under: uncultured bacterium
Lineage: Bacteria
Description: bacterial SSU rRNA
Rfam family: Bacterial small subunit ribosomal RNA
Source: RNAcentral